This 372-nucleotide ribosomal RNA is filed under the name uncultured organism. Its description in RNAcentral is "bacterial SSU rRNA". It matches the Rfam family "Bacterial small subunit ribosomal RNA", at positions 526 to 896 of the family's 1533-position model. The record is from RNAcentral.
CAGAGGUCCCAAGCGUUGUUCGGAUUCACUGGGCAUAAAGGGUGCGUAGGUGGUGGGGUAAGUUUGAUGUGAAAGCUCCGAGCUUAACUCGGAAAUGGCAUUGAAUACUAUCCUGCUUGAGGGUUGGAGGGGGGACUGGAAUUCUCGGUGUAGCAGUGAAAUGCGUAGAUAUCGAGAGGAACGCCAGUGGCGAAGGCGAGUCCCUGGACAACUCCUGACACUGAGGCACGAAAGCUAGGGGAGCAAACAGGAUUAGAUACCCUGGUAAUCCUAGCCGUAAACGGUGCACGUUUGCUGUAAAAGGAAUCGACCCCUUUUGUGGCGUAGCCAACGCGUUAAACGUGCCGCCUGGGAAGUACGGUCGCAAGAUUA